Bubalus bubalis (water buffalo) is the source of this 2486-nucleotide long non-coding RNA. RefSeq lists it as uncharacterized. NCBI's taxonomy places the organism in Eukaryota, Metazoa, Chordata, Mammalia, Artiodactyla, Bovidae. The record is from RefSeq and is a predicted model, not a curated record. The transcript has 2 exons.
AAUAUAAUAAUAUUUAAUAUAAUAUUGAGAAGCAUAGUUUUUUAAGGCCCUUAUUUUCAUAUGUUCGAAUUCUUAUACAGAUAAUAUGUUAAUUGCAUAUUGUUUGUUAAUUAAGAAAAAGAUAAGACUUUAAUGGCAAAUCUACCAAUUAGCAUACCAUAUUUAAUAUUUUCUCUUUGAAAGCUUUCAGUUUUUUGAAGAAAACCAACUCUGGACAGAUUCAGUAAUUCUUCCUUUAUAAUUCAGAUUGCUAAGCUUUUUCAAUAUGUGAAAAUCUGUUAAGGAUUGUCAUUCCUCACACCUUUUUGAGAGAGAGAGUGUAGCCACACCUGGUACUCAGAAGUGUGUAGGGAUGACUGUUCUCUCUGACAGGGAGGCAAUCUGUAUCUGAAGUGAAGAGAGGCUGGACAGGAAUGAGACACUGCCCAUCUCUGGCAGAACUAGAAAUGUGGCUCAUUGGAUAGACUGUAGAACUGCCAUGACUAAGGCUCAGUCCUAGAUAACAUCUUUAACUAGGAAAGAAAAUAAGUCAUCUGUUUAUUAAUUCAGAUACUGUCUAUAGAUGUAUUGUCAAGGGCAGUCUUUUUUUUCUAAGAUUUUAUUUUGAUUAAAACCUUUUGCAAAAAAUGAUGUAUUUGACACCUCAUACAUUUUAUCAGAGACCUGUCAUAAGCAAUCUGGAAUUAAGAUAAAGAAUGUCUCCUUAAGCAAACAAAUAAUCUUUGAAGUUGCCAACUGUUCUCUUUGGCUAGAGAGACAUUAGAACGUUGUCACUUUUAGAAUAUGUCACACAGCCAUGGCUGACUUUUAACACCUUAGCUAACUCUAAGAGUUGGAGAAGAGGUUAAACAAUUUUCCGAAGGUCUUUCAAUCUUGACAACAGGGUCUGGGUCUUUUGAAUUCCCCAAGUCUCCACAUUUUUUGGUAAUCACUAGCAUGUAUUGCAUCAAUAAACACCUAUAAACAUGUAGUGGGUGCCUACAAUUUGCCAGCCAGUAUUCUGGGAGCUGGCACACAGAUAUGAGUAUCACAUAGUCUGGUUGACAGGAGAGAGAAAUAAACAAACUUGCAGAGAUGUGAUAAACGCUGUGACCAAGACAAGCACAGGGUGAAGAGAGUGCCUGAAGGAGGAGCAGCUGAUCCAGAACCUAACCUAGACCAGGAUAUAGGGAGACUUCCCAGGGCAGGGAGUGGCCUCAGGCAAGUCAUGGGGUUGCAGAGUAGGAAAGUCCGACUCUUCAUGACCCCGCGGACUGUAACCUGCCAGGCUCCUCUGUCCAUGGAAUUUUCCAGGCGAGAAUACUGGAGUGGGUUGCCUACUCCAGGGGAUCCUCCAGACCCUGUGAUCAAAACCCUGUUCCCUGCAUUGGAAAGCAGAUCCCUUACCACUUUGCUACCUGGGAAGCCCGUUUUUAAGUUGGACGCGUUCAAAUCAAAUUUCUCGUCUGCAGGUAUAUAUUUUAUACACUCUUAAAAUGAUUACAAUGAUUAUUUUAAAAAUAAUUGAGUAAACGAAUGAUCACAGUUGUUUUUUCUGUCAUACCUAGACAACGAUCAUUUUAUGUAGCACCACGUCUGUACAUGAAGGAGGGUGAUCAGUCAUACAAUAGCAGUUAAAGGCUAAUGUUCUAAACAGUAACCCAGCCUUUGUAAACGUCAGUUCUAUUUUACAAAAUCAUAUGAUUUAUUUAUUGCUUUCAUAUUACGUAUCAUUUGCUCUGAUGCUUCCGUGGGUACGUGUUAGGCUUCUUGGUAUUUAUUUCCAGGAUUCAGUCAUUUUAAUGCAGUAGUUUGUGACCUGUUCUGGAAAGACUUCUACUGGAAGAGAUGGGAACACUGACUGGACACCACAUGUUGGCUGCCACCUGCCUCAGUAAAGACAAGGGAAAGUUUUCAUCUUCAGGGAGCUUAUAAUUUAUCAGAUGGGCCAUGCGGACAAGGUGUGCACACAAAAGGCUGUACACAGCGGAAGAAAAUGCCAGAAAAAAGUCUUGUCAGCCUGUAUUAGAAAAUGGAAAUGUGACUAAAGCUCUCUGGCAAAGACAACUAAUAACCAUUCUACAAUGAAUCAUCCUUUUGUGAAACAAAGUCGAUCUCCUGGAAUAAAGCUUUUAAGCUGGUGGCCAAGGGAUUAGCUUUCAUGUGUUAUUAGAUGUUUAAAAAUUGGGUGAUUGUCGUAAACUGCCGAAGGCUGAGUUGGGGGCAUUACCAGAGUCUAUGCCAUUCAUUGGCUAUAACCAUUUCUUCCCCUUCCCAGGCCCCAAAGUUGAUGUCAUUUUUUCUAAAUGUUCUUGGGGGUCAUUAUAAAGUUCCUUCUUGAAGUGCAUUUUGAAAUAGGUGAUGACGAAGUUUCGUAAAGUGUGUUACAAGUGUGUGUUACAUGUAAUUAGUUUCCUAAAAUAGUCUUUCUUGUUGGUAAAAGUGUAAAGAAUAACAACCACUUGGAAAGGGAUUUUAAUAAUUACAAUAAAAAUUUUAAAUGCAUG